CUCAUCCAACAAGUCAUCAGCCUCAUAGGCCGCAUCUUUGAGCUCAUCAAGCCACUUCUUCACAGCAGGCACAACAAUCUGCUUUUCCUCGGCGUGAUCAAGCAAUCCAGUAACAGUGAUCAUAGCAACCUUCAACUUCUUCACUUGUGAAAGGUCGAGUUUGUGGCCCUUAAAAAAUGCAGCAAUCUCGGGAGAAUCCAUCCUCUCAAACAAAAACUGGAACAUGCUGGAGAGAAAUGCUCCUGCUACUACCUCGGCCGCCAUGGAUAUCUCUUUGCAAAGGAAGUGAGUUUAAGGAUAGAAAAUUGAUGAAGGAGAUCUUAUUUAUCUCCCAAAGAUGCAAAGUGCCACCCUUUUCAACAACCUCAAGGAUCAGACAAGUUUAUGAAGCUAAAGAUCUUCCUCUUUUUCUUUUUGAGGAUUAGGGGAAAGAUAAAUUCAAUACGAAAUCGAGGAACACAAAAGAACAGAAGCAACCACUUCUUCCCCUUGUUUAUAUUACAAAAGCAAAGCAAUGCGCGUGCCACCCUUUUCAACAACCUCAAGGAUCGGAGACGUGUAUGCAGCUAAGGUCUUCUUCUUCUUUUAAAGAUUAAGGGAAAAACAAAUUGGAAAUUAGACGGAGGCGUCUGGAUUUUUUUUUUUUUUUUUUCUUCUAAAACGGAGAAUUCAAAUGAACAAAACGACCCUUAAAAAUUGAAAGAGUGCAGUGUUUUUUUUUUUUUUGUCAAAGAAGAGUGCAGUUUGAGAGCAGAAAAAAAGAGUGCAGAUUGCAAGAGACUAGAACAGAGCACAUAAGAAUGGAAGUAGGCAGCUAAGAGAAUUGAAAUUUCC
RNAcentral lists this unclassified non-coding RNA (834 nucleotides) under Hevea brasiliensis (rubber tree). The record is from RNAcentral. Lineage: Eukaryota; Viridiplantae; Streptophyta; Magnoliopsida; Malpighiales; Euphorbiaceae.